RNAcentral lists this ribosomal RNA (484 nucleotides) under uncultured bacterium. RNAcentral describes it as "partial 16S ribosomal RNA". It matches the Rfam family "Bacterial small subunit ribosomal RNA", at positions 30 to 507 of the family's 1533-position model. The record is from RNAcentral.
AUUGAACGCUGGCGGCAGGCCUAACACAUGCAAGUCGAGCGGAUGAAGGGAGCUUUCUCCUGGAUUCAGCGGCGGACGGGUGAGUAAUUCCUACGAAUCUGCCUGGUAUUGGGGGAUAACGUCCGGAAACGGGCGCUAAUACCGCAUACGUCCUGAUGUAGAAAGUGGUGGAUCUUCGGACCUCACCCUAUCAGAUGAGCCUAGGUCGGAUUAGCUAGUUGGUGGGGUAAAGGCCUACCAAGGCGACGAUCCGUAACUGGUCUGAGAGGAUGAUCAGUCACACUGGAACUGAGACACGGUCCAGACUCCUACGGGAGGCAGCAGUGGGGAAUAUUGGACAAUGGGCGAAAGCCUGAUCCAGCCACGCCGCGUGUGUGAAGAAGGUCUUCGGAUUGUAAAGCACUUUAAGUUGGGAGGAAGGGAAGUAAGUUAAUACCUUGCUGUUUUGACGUUACCAACAGAAUAAGCACCGGCUAACUUCGUG